UGGCUCAGACGGUAAAGCAUCUGCCUGCAAUGCGGGAGACCCGGGUUCAAUUCCUGG
RNAcentral lists this transfer RNA (57 nucleotides) under Ovis aries (sheep). It matches the Rfam family "tRNA", at positions 8 to 63 of the family's 71-position model. Rfam says of the family: Transfer RNA (tRNA) molecules are approximately 80 nucleotides in length. Their secondary structure includes four short double-helical elements and three loops (D, anti-codon, and T loops). Further hydrogen bonds mediate the characteristic L-shaped molecular structure. tRNAs have two regions of fundamental functional importance: the anti-codon, which is responsible for specific mRNA codon recognition, and the 3' end, to which the tRNAs corresponding amino acid is attached (by aminoacyl-tRNA synthetases). tRNAs cope with the degeneracy of the genetic code in two manners: having more than one tRNA (with a specific anti-codon) for a particular amino acid; and 'wobble' base-pairing, i.e. permitting non-standard base-pairing at the 3rd anti-codon position. RNAcentral also lists the same sequence under 2 other names. The record is from Rfam by way of RNAcentral. Lineage: Eukaryota; Metazoa; Chordata; Mammalia; Artiodactyla; Bovidae.